CCAUCGAUGGACUGUCGGUCGA
RNAcentral lists this microRNA (22 nucleotides) under Spodoptera frugiperda (fall armyworm). RNAcentral's name for it is "sfr-miR-10511-5p". Lineage: Eukaryota; Metazoa; Arthropoda; Insecta; Lepidoptera; Noctuidae. The record is from miRBase by way of RNAcentral.